Molecule: ribosomal RNA, 468 nt
Filed under: uncultured bacterium
Lineage: Bacteria
Description: partial 16S ribosomal RNA
Rfam family: Bacterial small subunit ribosomal RNA
Source: RNAcentral
GACGAACGCUGGCGGCGUGCUUAACACAUGCAAGUCGAACGGAAAGGCCCUGCUUUUGUGGGGUGCUCGAGUGGCGAACGGGUGAGUAACACGUGAGUAACCUGCCCUUGACUUUGGGAUAACUUCAGGAAACUGGGGCUAAUACCGGAUAGGAGCUCCUGCUGCAUGGUGGGGGUUGGAAAGUUUCGGCGGUUGGGGAUGGACUCGCGGCUUAUCAGCUUGUUGGUGGGGUAGUGGCUUACCAAGGCUUUGACGGGUAGCCGGCCUGAGAGGGUGACCGGCCACAUUGGGACUGAGAUACGGCCCAGACUCCUACGGGAGACAGCAGUGGGGAAUAUUGCACAAUGGGCGGAAGCCUGAUGCAGCAACGCCGCGUGCGGGAUAACGGCCUUCGGUUUGUAAACCGCUUUCGCCUGUGACGAAGCGUGAGUGACGGUAAUGGGUAAAGAAGCACCGGCUAACUACGUG